The submitters of this non-coding RNA (49 nucleotides) gave its source as unclassified sequences. The record is from Rfam.
UCCUUGUAGACGGAUUGAACGGCAACGCAUAGCGAGAAUGUGACAAGGA